Molecule: ribosomal RNA, 439 nt
Filed under: uncultured bacterium
Lineage: Bacteria
Description: partial 16S ribosomal RNA
Rfam family: Bacterial small subunit ribosomal RNA
Source: RNAcentral
CUACGGGGGGCAGCAGUGAGGAAUUUUGCGCAAUGGGGGGAACCCUGAUGCAGCAACGCCGCGUGGAGGAUGACGCAUUUCGGCGUGUAAACUCCUUUUAUAUGUCAAGAAAAUGACGGUAGCAUAUGAAUAAGCACCGGCUAACUCCGUGCCAGCAGCCGCGGUAAUACGGAGGGUGCAAGCGUUACUCGGAAUCACUGGGCGUAAAGGACGCGUAGGCGGGUUGGAAAGUCAGGUGUGAAAUCCUACAGCUUAACUGUAGAACUGCAUUUGAAACUUCUAAUCUAGAGUAUGGGAGGGGGAGAUGGAAUUAGUGGUGUAGGGGUAAAAUCCGUAGAUAUCACUAGGAAUACCUAAAGCGAAGGCGAUCUCCUGGAACAUUACUGACGCUAAGGCGUGAAAGCGUGGGGAGCAAACAGGAUUAGAUACCCCGGUAGUC